This 485-nucleotide ribosomal RNA is filed under the name uncultured bacterium. RNAcentral describes it as "partial 16S ribosomal RNA". It matches the Rfam family "Bacterial small subunit ribosomal RNA", at positions 30 to 496 of the family's 1533-position model. The record is from RNAcentral.
AUUGAACGCUGGCGGCAUGCCUUACACAUGCAAGUCGAGCGGCAGCGCGUCCGACCACCCUCGGGUGGUCGGAUGGCGGCGAGCGGCGGACGGGUGAGGAAUGCAUCGGAAUCUGCCUCGUAGUGGGGGAUAACGUUUCGAAAGGAACGCUAAUACCGCAUACGUUCUGAGGAAGAAAGCAGGGGACCUUCGGGCCUUGCGCUAUGAGAUGAGCUUGCGUCCGAUUAGCUAGUUGGUGGGGUAAAGGCCUACCAAGGCGACGAUCGGUAACUGGUCUGAGAGGAUGAUCAGUCACACUGGAACUGAGACACGGUCCAGACUCCUACGGGAGGCAGCAGUGGGGAAUAUUGGACAAUGGGGGCAACCCUGAUCCAGCCAUGCCGCGUGAGUGAAGAAGGCCUCGGUUGUAAGCUCUUCGUCCGGGACGAAAUACGCACAGGUUAAUACCCUGUGUGGAUGACGGUACCGGACGUAAGAAGCACCGG